CAUCGAUCCAAAUGGGGAACAGGUGAAUUGGAAGUGUUUUUUUGUUGUUUUUUUAGGGUUUUCUUUUUUGAGCUAAUAGUAGGAAUUUGUAAAGUGAUAACAAAGAGACAACGUCCUACUGCGUUCUGUGUUUCAGGAAAACAGUGAUGGUCUUUAUUUGGAGACAUUAGAGGCGUGCCCUCUGACCUCUCCUAGAACAAUGAGGAUGUCUUACCCUUCAAAGGCAGUCGUCACGUCUCCCCCCAUUUCCAUGUAAAAGACCCUCACUCGUAAUAACCGCCCAGCAUGAGCUGUGCUAUGUCUGCAGAACUUCAUGCUCCACAUUAUGAUGAACAUUCCUGCUGCUAAAAAUGCAAUAAAAGUCAACAUACUCCCAUUUUUUUCUGCAGAAUGAAGCCUCCACUUCCCAGACCCAAGCCUAACUCCUUCCUGCCCUCAUUGGCUGAAUCAAAAAGAGGUCAGAGUCACAUUUUUGGAACAUUUUAACAAACCAUAUCUACAGAAAAUUAAUGCGUUAUUAAAGAUAAAAGAUAAGUUGUGUCUGUGUAGAUCCUUCAGUUCACAUCAAGCUCCCAACUCCGAUCCCCAGGACGUCUCGAUUAGCCAACCUAAAGGAAGCUUCCCAGAGGUACGUGUAUCUAAAGAUCAAUUCUAACUUUCAAAAGGGUAAAUCUGAAGUAUUUUAUAUUUAUGUUCAGUUUG
This 702-nucleotide long non-coding RNA is filed under the name Gouania willdenowi (blunt-snouted clingfish). Its description in RNAcentral is "lncRNA (ENSGWIG00000013110.1)". The record is from RNAcentral. Lineage: Eukaryota; Metazoa; Chordata; Actinopteri; Blenniiformes; Gobiesocidae.